Molecule: ribosomal RNA, 988 nt
Filed under: uncultured Candida
Lineage: Eukaryota; Fungi; Ascomycota; Saccharomycetes; Saccharomycetales
Description: SSU rRNA
Rfam family: Eukaryotic small subunit ribosomal RNA
Source: RNAcentral
CCCAUGCAUGUCUAGUAUAGCAUUUAUACAGUGAACUGCGAUGCUCAUAAAUCAGUAUCGUUUAUUUGAUAGUCCUUUACUACAUGGUAUACUGUGGUAAUUCUAGAGCUAAUACAUGCUUAAAAUCUCGACCUCUGGAAGAGAUGUAUUUAUUAGAUAAAAAAUCAAUGUCUUCGGACUCUUUGAUGAUUCAUAAUAACUUUUCGAAUCGCAUGGCCUUGUGCUGGCGAUGGUUCAUUCAAAUUUCUGCCCUAUCAACUUUCGAUGGUAGGAUAGUGGCCUACCAUGGUUUCAACGGGUAACGGGGAAUAAGGGUUCGAUUCCGGAGAGGGAGCCUGAGAAACGGCUACCACAUCCAAGGAAGGCAGCAGGCGCGCAAAUUACCCAAUCCUAAUUCAGGGAGGUAGUGACAAUAAAUAACGAUACAGGGCCCAUUCGGGUCUUGUAAUUGGAAUGAGUACAAUGUAAAUACCUUAACGAGGAACAAUUGGAGGGCAAGUCUGGUGCCAGCAGCCGCGGUAAUUCCAGCUCCAAUAGCGUAUAUUAAAGUUGUUGCAGUUAAAAAGCUCGUAGUUGAACUUUGGGUCUGUUUGGCCGGUCCGAUUUUUUCGUGUACUGGAAUCCCAAGCGGACCUUUCCUUCUGGCUAACCUUGGGUCCUUGUGGCCCCUGGCGAACCAGGAUUUUUACUUUGAAAAAAUUAGAGUGUUCAAAGCAGGCGUAUUGCUCGAAUAUAUUAGCAUGGAAUAAUAGAAUAGGACGUUUGGUUCUAUUUUGUUGGUUUCUAGGACCAUCGUAAUGAUUAAUAGGGACGGUCGGGGGCAUCAGUAUUCAAAUGUCAGAGGUGAAAUUCUUGGAUUUUUUGAAGACUAACUACUGCGAAAGCAUUUGCCAAGGACGUUUUCAUUAAUCAAGAACGAAAGUUAGGGGAUCGAAGAUGAUCAGAUACCGUCGUAGUCUUAACCAUAAACUAUGCCGACUAGGGAUCA